UACGUAGGGUGCGAGCGUUGUCCGGAAUUAUUGGGCGUAAAGGGUGCGUAGGCGGCGCGGAAAGUCGGGUGUGAAAUUUCGGAGCUUAACUCCGAAACUGCAUUCGAUACUCCCGUGCUUGAGGACUGGAGAGGAGACUGGAAUUUACGGUGUAGCAGUGAAAUGCGUAGAGAUCGUAAGGAAGACCAGUGGCGAAGGCGGGUCUCUGGACAGUUCCUGACGCUGAGGCACGAAGGCCAGGGGAGCAAACGGG
This 253-nucleotide ribosomal RNA is filed under the name uncultured bacterium. RNAcentral's name for it is "partial 16S ribosomal RNA". It matches the Rfam family "Bacterial small subunit ribosomal RNA", at positions 524 to 776 of the family's 1533-position model. The record is from RNAcentral.